UGCGUAGGUGGUGAGGUAAGUCGGAUGUGAAAGCUCCGAGCUCAACUCGGAAAUGGCAUUGGAAACUACCUUGCUCGAGGGUUUGAGGGGGGACUGGAAUACUUGGUGUAGCAGUGAAAUGCGUAGAUAUCAAGUAGAACACCAGUGGCGAAGGCGAGUCCCUGGAAAACUCCUGACACUGAGGCACGAAAGCUAGGGGAGCAAACAGGAUUAGAUACCCUGGUAGUCCUAGCCGUAAACGGUGCGUAUUUGCUGUAAAAGGAAUCGACCCCUUUUGUGGCGUAGCCAACGCGUUAAAUACGCCGCCUGGGAAGUACGGUCGCAAGAUUAAA
This 332-nucleotide ribosomal RNA is filed under the name uncultured bacterium. Its description in RNAcentral is "bacterial SSU rRNA". It matches the Rfam family "Bacterial small subunit ribosomal RNA", at positions 568 to 898 of the family's 1533-position model. The record is from RNAcentral.